UACGUAGGGUGCAAGCGUUAUUCGGAAUUACUGGGCGUAAAGCGUGCGCAGGCGGUUUUGUAAGUCUGACGUGAAAUCCCCGGGCUCAACCUGGGAAAUGCGGUGGAAACUGUAAGGCUAGAAUCUGGCAGAGGGGGGUAGAAUUCCACGUGUAGCAGUGAAAUGCGUAGAGAUGUGGAGGAACACCGAUGGCGAAGGCAGCCCACUGGGUCAAGAUUGACGCUCAUGCACGAAAGCGUGGGGAGCAAACAGG
Molecule: ribosomal RNA, 253 nt
Filed under: uncultured bacterium
Lineage: Bacteria
Description: partial 16S ribosomal RNA
Rfam family: Bacterial small subunit ribosomal RNA
Source: RNAcentral